GUCUAUUUCCGUCCAACGUGUGCACAAGGCGUGGGCACGCGGCGAGAGUUCUAAGGCUUCUUAGAGAUGGCGAGCCGAACGUACACAAUCCGGAGGGGGGGAUAGCCUUUAGAAAGGGAGAUUAAUACCCCAUAAUAUAAUGAGUGGCAUCACUUGUUAUUGAAAACUCCGGUGGAUAGAGAUGGGCACGCGCAAGAUUAGAUAGUUGGUGAGGUAACGGCUCACCAAGUCAAUGAUCUUUAGGGGGCCUGAGAGGGUGAUCCCCCACACUGGUACUGAGACACGGACCAGACUCCUACGGGAGGCAGCAGUGAGGAAUAUUGGACAAUGGGUGNGAGCCUGAUCCAGCCAUCCCGCGUGAAGGACGACGGCCCUAUGGGUUGUAAACUUCUUUUGUACAGGGAUAAACCUUUCCACGUGUGGAAAGCUGAAGGUACUGUACGAAUAAGCACCGGCUAACUCCGUGCCAGCAGCCGCGGUAAUACGGAGGGUGCAAGCGUUAUCCGGAUUUAUUGGGUUUAAAGGGUCCGUAGGCGGAUCUGUAAGUCAGUGGUGAAAUCUCAUAGCUUAACUAUGAAACUGCCAUUGAUACUGCAGGUCUUGAGUAAGGUAGAAGUAGCUGGAAUAAGUAGUGUAGCGGUGAAAUGCAUAGAUAUUACUUAGAACACCAAUUGCGAAGGCAGGUUACUAUGUCUUAACUGACGCUGAUGGACGAAAGCGUGGGGAGCGAGGAGUACGAACGCAAGUUUGAAACUCAAAGGAAUUGACGGGGGCCCGCACAAGCGGUGGAUUAUGUGGUUUAAUUCGAUGAUACGCGAGGAACCUUACCAAGACUUAAAUGGGAAUUGACAGAUUUAGAAAUAGAUCCUCCUUCGGGCAAUUUUCAAGGUGCUGCAUGGUUGUCGUCAGCUCGUGCCGUGAGGUGUUAGGUUAAGUCCUGCAACGAGCGCAACCCCUGUCACUAGUUGCCAUCAUUCAGUUGGGGACUCUAGUGAGACUGCCUACGCAAGUAGAGAGGAAGGUGGGGAUGACGUCAAAUCAUCACGGCCCUUACGUCUUGGGCCACACACGUAAUACAAUGGCCGGUACAGAGGGCAGCUACACAGCGAUGUGAUGCAAAUCUCGAAAGCCGGUCUCAGUUCGGAUUGGAGUCUGCAACUCGACUCUAUGAAGCUGGAAUCGCUAGUAAUCGCGCAUCAGCCAUGGCGCGGUGAAUACGUUCCCGGGCCUUGUACACACCGCCCGUCAAGCCAUGGAAGUCUGGGGUACCUGAAGUCGGUGACCGUAACAGGAGCUGCCUAGGGUAAAACAGGUAACUAGGGCUAAGUCGUAACAAG
This 1337-nucleotide ribosomal RNA is filed under the name Chryseobacterium sp. LC. RNAcentral's name for it is "partial 16S ribosomal RNA". It matches the Rfam family "Bacterial small subunit ribosomal RNA". The record is from RNAcentral. Lineage: Bacteria; Pseudomonadati; Bacteroidota; Flavobacteriia; Flavobacteriales; Weeksellaceae.